UACGUACCCGGGCCUUGUACACACCGCCCGUCACGUCAUGGGAGUGGGGAACGCCUGAAGUCCGUGGGUUAACCGGUAACGGGGGCAGCGGCCGAGGGCGGGCUUCGCGACUGGGACG
This 118-nucleotide ribosomal RNA is filed under the name uncultured bacterium. RNAcentral's name for it is "partial 16S ribosomal RNA". It matches the Rfam family "Bacterial small subunit ribosomal RNA", at positions 1367 to 1482 of the family's 1533-position model. The record is from RNAcentral.